Microplitis mediator is the source of this 1280-nucleotide long non-coding RNA. RefSeq lists it as uncharacterized. The transcript is spliced from 3 exons. Lineage: Eukaryota; Metazoa; Arthropoda; Insecta; Hymenoptera; Braconidae. The record is from RefSeq and is a predicted model, not a curated record.
UGUAUGAUUGAUAUCUAUUAUAAAAAAAAUGGUGCUCAGAGUAAAGCGGUAUUAUAAAAUCCUCGACUACGAUCCCGGCGUGCCGUGAUUUGAGCAAGAAUUCAACAUCAUCAAGUGUGUAGUGUGUUAUACAUUUUAUUAUGCCGGAAUAGCAUAUUAGAUUGACGCAAUAUACUCACGUCAGGCGAAAAAUUUACACUUACUUACAUUACGCACACAUAAAAUAUAUAAUUACACGACUAUCUAUUUAUAAAUAAGUUAUAAUCGGCAAAAGAAAAAAAAAGAAAAAAACAAUUGUUAUAAAUAUUUAAUUACUGCCAUGAAUAAACCGAGAAAUUUUUUUUUUUAGCAUUCAUCAAUUAAUUUAAAAGACUAUUAAUAUACAAGUGUACGUACACGUGACGAGCACACGUUAUUUUUCAUAACUCCAAUUCAUAAAUUCGUGACAAAACUAUGGUUCUAUUAAUAACCGACACUAGUGGCGAUGAAGAUCAAAAAGUAUGUUUUUGAAUAAAAAAUUCUAGUUCACGUAUCAGAUCAGAGGAAAAAAUGUACUGAGAAGAAGUAAAAAAAGGCGGAAAAAAUUGAACACUGAUUGCUACUUGACUGAGCAGCUAGAGGUACAGAUGGCAACGAAUAGCCAGCUCGACGUUAUAGUGGCGGAAUUUAAGACUAACAUACGUAUAUAUCUAUACAGACAUCUAUACAUCUUGUUUCUUUCUCAUUCUUUAUUCAAACUGUCUUUAUCUUUUUGUCUUUCAUUUUUGCUCUCGCGUUAACGCGUCUCUCCCUCACUGUAGAGAGACAAUUACCUCCGCAUCACUCUACUCUACUACCUCAUUGGGUUUCUUUGUGGCUUUCUCUCAAUAAGGAUUUUUAAGCAACACUGACACACAGGUAGACGUUUUCGUUUUGUCUCAGUCAUUGAGUGGAACCAUCAGGAGGAUUAACGAAUUCGAAAUGAAACGGCAAAAUUUUAAUUAAAUGCUGGGUUGAAAUGAAGGCUGGAAAAAUUUAUAUAAAAUUUAAAAAAAUAAACAAACUUUCCUUGGUAUUUUUGCCGGUACGGUUGUGCGCGAUGAUGAGAAGGAAUAAAAAUAAAAUAAAAAAUGUGCAAGGGUCAGGAGUAUACUGAAAACAUCAGGUAAAGAGAGAAGAAUACUGUGUACUGAUACCUUACAAAAGUACACCUGAGAGAAUUCAUCCAUGUCGAAGUAAAGGGACUUUUAACAACUUGUAACCGAUACCUGAGUGUACUGAAAUAAAUAUAAUACUGAAUC